CCUACGGGUGGCCGCAGUGGGGGAUAUUGCACAAUGGGGGAAACCCUGAUCCAGCGAAGCCGCGUGGGCGAAGACGUAUUUCGGUAUGUUAAGCCCUAUCUGCAGGGAAGAAGAAAUGACGGUACCUGAAGCAGAAGCCCUGGCUAACUACGUGCCAGCAGCCGCGUUAAUACGGAGGGGGCCAGCGUUAUCCGGAUUUACUGGGUGUAAAGGGGGCGCAGACGGCGGUGCAAGCCAGGAGGGAAAUGCCGGGGCCCAACCCCGGGACUGCAUUUGGAACUGGGGGGCUGGAGUGCAGGAGGGGCAGGCGGAAUUCCUGGUGUAGCGGUGAAAUGCGUAGAUAUCAGGAGGAACACCGGUGGCGAAGGCGGCCUGCUGGACUGCAACUGACGUUGAGGCCCGAAAGCGUGGGGAGCAAACAGGAUUAGAUACCCGAGUAGUC
RNAcentral lists this ribosomal RNA (442 nucleotides) under uncultured bacterium. RNAcentral describes it as "partial 16S ribosomal RNA". It matches the Rfam family "Bacterial small subunit ribosomal RNA", at positions 338 to 795 of the family's 1533-position model. The record is from RNAcentral.